RNAcentral lists this long non-coding RNA (1175 nucleotides) under Catharus ustulatus (Swainson's thrush). RNAcentral describes it as "lncRNA (ENSCUSG00005011861.1)". Lineage: Eukaryota; Metazoa; Chordata; Aves; Passeriformes; Turdidae. The record is from RNAcentral.
CUGCAUUUUAUAACUCAAUCUUUAUUUCAGACACCCAAACUUAAACCUCACUUUGCUGUGAUUUGUCCAUGGAGUUAGUUUGUUGUCUUACUCUCUACUUUAUUAUUUUAUUUGUUCUAAAAUCACAACUUUGUGCAUUAAAAUCUCUCGGAAAUAAUAAUGAACAAAUAAAACAACACACAACAUACCCUCCAUCCCCCCUUUAUUUCUUUUGGCACAAUAGAUUUUAAAUGACUACAUGACACAGAAUUAGCAAAACCACAGCUGAAAGCCAUUUACAGAGAUCAAGUCACAAAUGAGAAAUGAAGUUUUGAGACAUAUCCCAGACAGUGUGAAAUGUUAUGGAGUUUUUAUCUCUUGCAAUUAAAACCUUCAGUCUUAAGGAUAUAUCCCAGGUAUCCUGAUGGAUGUGUGCUGUAAGACAAAACCUGAAAGAAGCUCAGGAUACCGUGGCUGGUGCCAGCAAAGAGUUAAAUCAUCUGCAUGCUAAGUGUGCAGACAGCGAGAAUUUAACAGGAACUUUAAAAAGAGAGUUACAGAAAGUACAGCAGUGCUCAGAGGAGAAGAAAGUGCUUUUCCAGGAUCCUGUAGGGUGGGGUUUAUUCAGUUGUUGUUGGACAUCCACGCUCCCAUCGGGGGCUCGAAAUCUCUCGGUUCAAGAGGUUUCACGAGAACCUUUCCCUAAGCCUGACUCCCUCCUGAUGGAGGGAAAUGUGCUCCUUUGGUGCAGAGAGCGCCCUGCUUUGAAUUCUGUCCACAGACAUUCCAAACUUUCUGGCUGUUUGUUCCUCUCUCUGGCCGAAGAGUGCGCUGUGCUGAGGAUUCGCACAUCUCAGUCUGGCUUUGGUGUCAGGGGCUCCUUUGAGUGUCCUGCACUUUUAUUUGACUGUCGGGAGCCCUCCAGCCUUAGGAGAUGUCUGGGAGGCCGGAGAGAGCAGCGGGAGCCCCGGCAGAGCCCCGCGCUGGGUUCGGGCCAUUGUGGCAUCACCGUGCGCGUCCGUGGCAACCGUGGAAUCGCCGCCUCCGGCUCCGCGUUUGUCCCGGCUGGUCCCGGCACUCCAGGUCCUGCCCUGCCGGGAGCCGCUGCCCUCCGACCGUCCCAUCCGGUCCUGCUGGAGGAGGAGCAGCCUCGCAGCAGCUCCAGGCACCGGCGGCACUGUCCGAUCAGGCAGUGA